RNAcentral lists this ribosomal RNA (270 nucleotides) under uncultured bacterium. Its description in RNAcentral is "partial 16S ribosomal RNA". It matches the Rfam family "Bacterial small subunit ribosomal RNA", at positions 29 to 328 of the family's 1533-position model. The record is from RNAcentral.
AACGAACGCUGGCGGCAGGCCUAACACAUGCAAGUCGAGCGCCCAGCAAUGGGAGCGGCGCACGGGUGAGUAACACGUGGGAACGUGCCCUAUGGUUCGGAAUAACGCAGGGAAACUUGCGCUAAUACCGGAUAAGCCCUAACGGGGAAAGAUUUAUCGCCAUUGGAGCGGCCCGCGUUGGAUUAGCUAGUUGGUGGGGUAAAAGCCUACCAAGGCGACGAUCCAUAGCUGGUUUGAGAGAACGACCAGCCACACUGGGACUGAGACACG